UUCCGGUUGAUCCCGCCGGACCUGACUGCUAUCGGAUUGAUAAAAGCCAUGUUAGUCUUUGUAGUAAUACAAGGCAUACGGCUCAGAAACACGUAGUCAACCUAACUUAUGGACGGGGAUAACUUCGGGAAACUGAUGAUAAUACCCGAUAGGUCAUUAUGCCUGGAAUGGUUUAUGGCUUAAAUGAAUUUCGCCAUAGGAUGGGACUGCGACCUAUCAGCUUGUUGGUGAGGUAAUGGCCCACCAAGGCGAUUACAGGUACGGGCUCUGAGAGGAGAAGCCCGGAGAUGGGUACUGAGACAAGGACCCAGGCCCUAUGGGGCGCAGCAGGCGAGAAAACUUUGCAAUGUGCGAAAGCACGACAAGGUUAAUCCGAGUGAUUUCUGCUAAAGGAAUCUUUUGUUAGUUCUAAAUAUAUUAGUGAAUAAGGGGUGGGCAAGUUCUGGUGUCAGCCGCCGCGGUAAAACCAGCACCUCAAGUGGUCAGGAGGAUUAUUGGGCCUAAAGCAUCCGUAGCCUGUUCUAUAAGUUUGCGGUUAAAUCUAUGCGCUCAACGUAUAGGCUGCCGUAAAUACUGUAGAACUAGGGAGUGGGAGAGGUAGACGGUACUCGGUAGGAAGGGGUAAAAUCCUUUGAUCUAUCGAUGACCACCUGUGGCGAAGGCGGUCUACCAGAACACGUUCGACGGUGAGGGAUGAAAGCUGGGGGAGCAAACCGGAUUAGAUACCCGGGUAAUCCCAGCUGUAAACGAUGCA
Molecule: ribosomal RNA, 754 nt
Filed under: uncultured Nitrososphaerota archaeon
Lineage: Archaea; Thermoproteati; Nitrososphaerota
Description: bacterial SSU rRNA
Rfam family: Archaeal small subunit ribosomal RNA
Source: RNAcentral